Molecule: ribosomal RNA, 514 nt
Filed under: uncultured bacterium
Lineage: Bacteria
Description: bacterial SSU rRNA
Rfam family: Bacterial small subunit ribosomal RNA
Source: RNAcentral
CGAUUCUGGCUCAGGAUGAACGCUAGCUACAGGCUUAACACAUGCAAGUCGAGGGGCAGCAUGGAGUUUGCUUGCAAACUCUGAUGGCGACCGGCGCACGGGUGAGUAACGCGUAUCCAACCUUCCCUAUAGUAGAGGAUAGCCCGGCGAAAGUCGGAUUAAUACUCUAUGUUUCCGUUGCAGACAUCUAAGAUGGAACAAAGGCUUGCCGCUAUAGGAUGGGGAUGCGUCUGAUUAGGUAGUCGGCGGGGUAACGGCCCACCGAGCCAUCGAUCAGUAGGGGUUCUGAGAGGAAGGUCCCCCACAUUGGAACUGAGACACGGUCCAAACUCCUACGGGAGGCAGCAGUGAGGAAUAUUGGUCAAUGGGCGAGAGCCUGAACCAGCCAAGUAGCGUGCAGGAUGACGGCCCUAUGGGUUGUAAACUGCUUUUAUAUAGGGAUAAAGUGCACUACGUGUAGUGUUUUGUAGGUACUAUAUGAAUAAGGACCGGCUAAUUCCGUGCCAGCCGCGGC